Lolium perenne is the source of this 2932-nucleotide non-coding RNA. NCBI's taxonomy places the organism in Eukaryota, Viridiplantae, Streptophyta, Magnoliopsida, Poales, Poaceae. The record is from RefSeq and is a predicted model, not a curated record.
CAAUCCUGUUCGUCCGUUUCACCUGUGUCCAACCCGCUUUUCACCGUGGCCGUUAGAUGCAGUCAAACUUUCCUCACUCGUUCAGCUUCGGAAAGACUCUAUGACAGAUGGGACCUCCUACGUGCGGGACCCGAUAGUGAGAGGAAGGCAGGCCGGCUCGUUCGGUCGCUUCCUUCUCCUGUCCCCAGACCAGAGGUGAAAACCUAGAUCGAGCGCCGCUCCCCCAAUCCUCGCUCCCGAAUCCCCGCCCCUCCUUUGCUCCCCGAAUCCCCGUCGACCUCUCUCUCCCUCUCCCCAACGAUGGUGCACCGCCGCUCCCCGAGAUGGAGCCGGACGGGCACGACCGCUAGGGCAGGCCGGAGAGCACGGUGUGCGCGUGCGUGGCGGUGCGGCAGCGAGCACGAGCGGAGGCGGUCUGGUAGUUGUCUCUGGCGGCGCAGGGUGGAGCGAGCGGAUGAGGCGGCGCUGGUGCUAGGCGGAGGUGGGUUCGCGCGUUGGUGUCCAGCGGCGCGCUACCUCUCCCCCGAAAUGGAGCAGGAGCGCCUGUCCCUCGGGAUUGAGCCGGUCGCUCCUGGAGCCUCGACGGACGCCUGCGUCCUGGGCGUGUAAAGCAUCAGCGGAAAUCCUAGGAAAGCGCAUCGAUGUGACCGUCGGUGGGGAGGAGGCGAGCAAGCAGGGCGACGAGGGAGGAGCAGCCUCACCAGCUCGGCCCGAGGAUUCGGCGCUGGCGGACUCCUCCACGAGUAAGGCCCUCCUCUUCCUCUAGAUGCCUCUACCUAUGUGAGGAUAUGGUGGUUGACUUACAACGAGAGGCCUGCGUGUGGGGAUCUGGUGGUUGAGUUUGAUCUGCGUAUUUUAUAUUUAGUUCCUCUAAUCAGAUUUGCUGCUUCAGUUGCGGUGAUGGAGAUUACCAUCUCUCCAGUGCAUCCUCACCCACCGCCACAGGCCAGCUCGUCUGCACAUCCCUCCUCACCGGCCCACGUGAGAUCAGGUCAUCCUUUCCUCUCCUCUUUGUCUCCCCCUUAUCACAUUUUUUAUAUGCCUCCCCAUUCAAUUUUCAUUCACGUGAAUUUAGUUCUUUUAGUUGUGUUUCAGUCGUUGGCCCUGUGAUUGGUAGCCUAAUUUUUCCUAAAAAAGAACAGAGACAAGAACACAUUUCAGAGCUGCAGCCACAGAGAGUGUUGUCUACUCAUGGCCUACUGAUCUACAGAAGAAAUAAUUUUAGUAUGUAAUCUAUGUGUACAUAUCCUUUUUGCAGAGAUCAUUAUGUUAUAUUGCUCAUAACUUUGUUUCAUAUGGCGGAGGCUUCACCCCGUGGAGUUGAAUCGAAUUGGUUGUUGCUUGUGUUGUUAGUUUUGUGUGAUGUUUGUAGUAUCUGUUAACCUGCCUUUUUUAUAAUGGUUAGCACAUGUCAGAGUUCAUGUAUUUCUCUUCAGAUAGCCAAUCUUUAUAUAAAAAAAUAUUUGUUAGUACAUGCUAUGCAGUAUUUUCCCAGGGGAUAUGCUGAUAGCUAACACCUAAAACAUAUAGAUGCUGCCUAGAUUAAUCAGUAAUCAGAGAAUGUUUAUUAGUUGCAGCCUAGGUAGACACAAAGUUUCUUGCAUUGGUGGUCCCAAGAACUUUACUCAAAACAAGUGUCUUCCCUUCAAAAUUAUCUCUUUACUAAUCUACCUUUUUUUUUGCAUAUGCUGGUCCAUUUUUUGUUCAUUACCUUCAUAUGGUUUCCAAGGAAGAUAAAUUGAUUACGUACCUUUGUUUUCUGAAUAUUAGUAAUGUAGUUCACGGAUGCGGUGGUGUGGGACAGGGAGUAGAUGAAAGCGUAAUAAGAGGAUCACGGCGCUUGCACACCCAUUGAAUAUUUUCAGAUGGUUCGCGAUCAAAUUCCCUUCCAUAUAGAUCUUGAGUGUAGCAGAAAAUAUGUCAUGGUAGGCCUGCAUGAGGUAAAUCAGAGUGAGCCAAAGGGAAAUGUAUAUGCACUUACCUAUUCCUAUACCACCCACUCUGGAAAUUUAGUGAAAGGAUUCUCCAAAAAGAAUUAGCUACAGAAUUACGCAAUUAGACAUUGAGUAUCCAUGUGUGGGUACAACUGCAAAUAUUUAAUUGGAAGGACCAAAAUGCAGAUGGACUCUUUAAUUCAUUUGAAGAAAUUAGCUCCUCUCACAAUUUAUCAAUAGAAAGGAUUUUUUCUCCCCUUUUGUGGUGUGCUCCGGUUUGAACCAAGAUUGGUUUUUUGGGUACACAGGUCACGAUGCUGCAUCGGCAACAAGAGGUUAGGGAUUCGUUUAUUGCAGCGAGCGUGAGAAGGCCAAGUUCAUCAGCCUUAUAUGGCGCUACCUCUGGUAAUUAUUUGUUAGCCACCGCAUUAUGAGCUCCUAUUUUGGUUAGAAGUUUGAUAAAUCAUGCCCAACUGGGCUAACUAUAAAAAGUUAAAUGUGUGAAAGAGUCACAAUCCAAUUCCUCAUUUUCCUUCACAAUUUUGCUGUUGCUUGUUCUUGUCUAUUGUGUAUGCUUACAUUCUGGUCUCAUGAGAUGUCCACCAGGUAACGGUUAAAAGGAAAAGUGGGUGUUAAUUUGAUUUGUAAAGAAAAGGAAAGGUUGCAAAAGGAAUUGAUCUCAGCUGUAGUGGGCUGCUUAAGAGGUGAGAAGGCCUCUAAAAAAAGAGGAAGAAGUAAUAGUCAGCUUCAGCAGCAAUUCCUCUUCUCACUUCCGCCAGGUUGUUUUACAUAGGGCAGGCUGCGAAAAUGGAUCGAAAGGAGCUCCUUGACAUAGAACUUGUCUAUCGUGCCUAGAAUUAGUGAUAUCUUUAUGUAUGUAACUAAUGCACUAAGCUGUCACCUUCUGAUUCUAUCUGCUAUGCUGUACUGUAUGACGUAUAUUGCUACUGGUGACUUGCUGAUCACCCAUUUGUACAAAAAACGUGUCAGUUCUAUCC